UAAUUUUUGUGCAUAUUCCUAAGGUUAUAAUUAUAUCAAUGCAUCGAAAACGCACGACAUUAUGGGCGUUUAAAUUCUAACUGGUUUAAUGAUGACGAGUUACUAAUUUUGUAUCUAUAAAUUACAGCUUUUUAAUUAACUUUAAAGGAGUGUAAGACAUUACGAUGAAGUUGUCAGGUGCAUUUGUCAUUAUGUUGCUUUUGGUAUGUAUGGAACUGUUCACUACACCCGUGGAAGGAGGAAGAAGAAAAAAACGAAAAUGAAAACGAAGAGAGGAAAACAAAAAUUCAAAUCUAAGUCGAAACGCAGCAUCCAACAACAGAACAGCGAUCUUCUUCUAAAAAUACUCCAUGCUCCAAGUGUCAACUUCCAGCUUCGUUGACCUGAUCAGAUGAAGGAAUUAUAUGAUUUAUGGAAAAUCGAGAAUGAAGAUAAACAAUAAAUAUUUAAGCACCUU
Molecule: long non-coding RNA, 457 nt
Organism: Saccostrea cuccullata (small rock oyster)
Lineage: Eukaryota; Metazoa; Mollusca; Bivalvia; Ostreida; Ostreidae
Exons: 3
Source: RefSeq, a predicted model, not a curated record